AACGAACGCUGGCGGCAUGCCUAACACAUGCAAGUCGAACGAGACGUUCGGGUCGAGUGGCGCACGGGUGCGUAACGCGUGGGAACCUGUCCUUAGGUUCGGCAUAACUCCCCGAAAGGGGUGCUAAAACCGGAUAAUGUCUUCGGACCAAAGAUUUAUCGCCCUUGGGUGGGCCCGCGUUGGAUUAGCUAGUUGGUAGGGUAAAAGCCUACCAAGGCGACGAUCCAUAGCUGGUCUGAGAGGAUGAUCAGCCACACUGGGACUGAGACACGGCCCAGACUACGACGGGAUGCAGCAGUUGGGAAAAUUGGAGGAUGGGCGAAGGCCGGAUGCAGCGUUGGAGAAUGGGGAAUGAUGGGUUGAGGGUUGUAAAGCUCUUUUACCCGGUAUGAUGAUGACGGUACCGGGGAAAUAGGAUCCGGUUAAUUCCUU
This 432-nucleotide ribosomal RNA is filed under the name uncultured bacterium. RNAcentral describes it as "partial 16S ribosomal RNA". It matches the Rfam family "Bacterial small subunit ribosomal RNA", at positions 29 to 506 of the family's 1533-position model. The record is from RNAcentral.